Molecule: long non-coding RNA, 21773 nt
Filed under: Hordeum vulgare
Lineage: Eukaryota; Viridiplantae; Streptophyta; Magnoliopsida; Poales; Poaceae
Description: long non-coding RNA (HVUL_LNC005550)
Source: RNAcentral
AGCAGACGAACCGACGUAGUCGAACGGGUCCUCACAUCCGACACGCUUGCGGAACUCUAACGAGACGAAGCAAACCGGAAACACAAAUCAACACACGAUAUUCACCACACGAUGCACAACACAUAUGAUGCAUGAGCAGCUGAAUACAUGCAAGACACGGCAUGACACUUCACACAAUCAAACACUACACAUUAAGUGAAGUUCAAUAUGCAACGGGUUGCAUAUUGACGAAACUCUACAUAUGAAUUAUUUAGUUCACUCCCGGUUAUUUACACGGCAAUAUUAAAAGGUUGUUAACAUGGCAAGGGGGUGAAGCACAAAUAUAACUACCUAUCUAUGCAAUUUAAAUGAGGCCGGAAACAACUUAUAGCAUCUCCGAAAUGUCCCCACGCGUUAAAUUCUAAUUCUGUCCAGAUUUGUCCUAAUCACAUUUUAAGUUUGUUAAACAGCAAAACAAAGUGGUUCACGUGAUUCUACGUGUCAAGACAAGCAAUCUACACAUAGAGAUCAUCUCCAACGGAGCUACGGGCAAAUAGUUACGACCUAAACCGUUUUUAUCACGUCGACACGCAAACCGAAGCAAGCAGCACCCUAAACAGCCUUUGACAUGCAUGAGAGUUGGACAUUGUUGAUCUACGCGAUCCUAGGCAAGUUACUUAUUUAUAUCACUCCGAUCCGAUGCACGGUUUGAAAUCUACGGGGGUUUGAAAACAAUAUGCAAUUUUCUGCACUGCGGACGAAUCGUGACAAGACAUGGGUUCUACACUCUAUGAGAUAUACCUUGCGCAACCUGUCGAAACUGAACUCCAAAGACACAACCUGCUGCUGCCAAGGCGGGGCUGCAGUUGCUCGCGUCAGCGGGAUGGCGUAUGGCUUCAGUGGGGCGUCGACGGGGGAUGGAACCGGGGGGCGAGGUACUGCAUGGGAGCCGUCCUUGGCGCCCGCGAGGCAGCCUGUAGAUCCGGUGGCCGACGGCAAGAGGCCGGACCUGGCGCGCUCUGGAGCCUGUGGUGGCCAUGGCGUGCUGCUACUGUAAACAGAGAACAAAAAGGAGGAAGAGAGAGAUUUGAGAGAGGGAAUAUGUGAAACCGAAGGAGGAAGGAGAGUAGGAAGGAGAGGGGAACGGGAGAGGUUCUGGCCUGGGAGGACGGGCUCGGUCGUGGCGGGCUGCUGCUUGGAGACAACGGCAUCUGAAGAUGCACUGCGGCAAGCUUCUGGCUGCGCGGUGCAGGCAAGGCGCGGGAGAACGAACACGGGGACGGGGGGAUGCUGGUCUGCGGGGCGAGCUCCUGUGGAUCGAGGCUACUGGCGGCGCUGGAUGGAUCGGGCGACGGGACCGAGGGCUUCCUCGAUCUGGCUGCUGCGGGCGCUGGGGAUCUGGUUGUCUGAUUGGCGAGGAGGUAAAAAAACGAGGAAGAGACCAGGUGAUGUGCGGCGGCAGCAGUUGGGACUGAUUGGUCUAGGGUUUGCCUGCUUAAAUAAAUAGGUGGGUUUGGAUAGGGUUGACUGGACCCUCCGAUAUAAAUCGGACGGUCGAGAAUGAAUAGGCUAGGGAGUCCAAUGGACAAACCGAUGACUGUUUGCGGUAAAACGGGGUGGAUCCGGACCCAACGGUCACGACUAUAUGAUUCAGGUUCCGGGAGGUUUUCGGACUAGGCCGCGCAUAGGGUUGGUGCACUGUGCAGAGGGGCUAGGCGGGGAUGAGAGAAAAAACGGGCGGCGCGGCAACGUGAUUUAAAACACCGGGACACGUCUGACGAAUAACCGAAGACGGUGCCGCUACGGACGACCGUUCGGGUACGAGACGGACUCCGAUUGCGACGAAACUUGACAGGCGGCCUACCUAUAAUAAAAUACGACCGCACGUCAAAUCUCAACCCAAUCAGAGAAGGUUUUACGCACACUUUUAAAACAGGGUUUUGACGGUGCCGCGGGCGCGUGCGAGUGCGAUCGGACUCAGAACGGACAACGACGAGAACCGGCAACUACUAACGAAAGCAAGUUUUGAAAACUGGCGGCAACGGAGAUGCCGAUGCAAUGCUGAUGAUGCGCAUGAUGCGAUGAUGAUGCGACAAAAAAAACAGACACACGACGAAAACGGAAAGGAAAGGGAAUCUUCUGGAACAUCGGUAUCGGGCUGUCACAACUCUCCUACACCACAAGAGGAUCUCGCCCCGAGAUCCAAGAAUGAAAGGGGGGAGGAUGAGAAAGAACAAGAGGUAAAAACUAGUCGGUUCUUUGACAAAUGAGUGAAACCAACAAUUCUUGAAGGUUGCAAAGAGAUGAAGGAUGAGAUGAGAAAGAAGCAAGAAUUCACGGAAAAUUUCGGGAGCACUUCGGUAGGAAAAUGGGACAAAAAAUUCGAUAAGAUGAAAGAAAUAGACAAUAUUUAUAACAAACAACUAAACAGAGCAAGGGAACACCAAGAUCUUGAUAGAACAACAAGAUAGACCCAAAAGAGCAACAUCACAAUGACUCCGGAACAAGAGAAUAUGAACUAUCUCAUACGGAAGAAGAGAAAGAAGAAAAUAAUGACAACUACUAACUCCAAUGAACUUGACAAGCAUCCUUGCGAGAAGAAUUGAACCGAGUUGUUGGGAAAACAACAACGAAAAGAACAAGAUAGUAGUGGGCUUAUGGAAACCUUUCAAACUAAUGAAGUGACAACCAGCCACUAAAAGAAACAAGGAUUGAUUGGGAGAAACAAGAUAUGAACAAUUUCUUACACCAAGAGGAUACAUUGAGAACUUGGAUUAAUGGCAAGCACCAUGAUAGCACAAUCCAUAGGAAAAGCUUUAGGUGAAAUCCAACCCAAGAUAGCUCAAUGAAGAAGUCAUGGGUUGGAAAUAUCUCAUGAACAUAGAAUUGGUGGAUUUAAUUAUCUCAUUCUUGAAAGGAAAACUCUUCGAAACUCCUACACUAACAAGAAUACCAUAAUACCACCUCAAAGGACAAAGGAAGAACAAAUGCACUGAAAUGCAAGGGAAAGAAUGCUUGAGAUUCUCCAACAAGAAUCUUGAAGAACACUUGAGAAUGAAUUGAUAUCAUGACGAACCACCAUGAAGGACCUCCGUAUACAAAUGAACGAUGCAAUGAUAUGAAGGAUGAAAAGAAUAAGAUUAUGACCUUACCAAGAUUUAGAUGAAGCCUCACGGAGAGAAACUUGAAAGAACUUAGAACUCCGGAAAAGAAAAGAUAAGAACACUUGAGAAAAGAAUUGAUAUCAUUAGCCACUCCGGAAGAAGAAUUGAAAUCAUUUGAUGAAACAAGAAUAAGAAUUAUGUUAAUCUAAUCCUUCAUCAAGUUAAAUUGACGACAAUCAACGGAUUUAGCAUACAACUUAUUCCUCUUGAAAGAAUCUUGAAGAGACAGAGUGAUAUAUAAAGCACAAAAUAGAAGAAAUGUUGCAAGAAACACCGGUAAGAAUUCACAAUUGAAUGGGAACACCACGAAUUAAUGGAGAAACAUGAGAAUGAAGAGCUCAUGAGCCACCUGAGAGAAAACUUGAACAAGGCACCGGAUAAUCGAGAGACGAACGAAGAGACAAUAAUGGAGAAGAAUUGAGGAUGAAAGCUGAAAGCUGAGAACGAAGAAUCUUCUGAAAUGAUGGCCUUCGGAGGAACGAGAAAUAAAAAACAAUUCAGAAACGCACCGGAUAGCAAGAAAGAGAUUACUCAUGAUUGACAACAAAUGAGAGGAUAACACGAAGCUGAGAUGACAAUCUUCACAAGAAUGGAAAAAGACUGAGAGAAACACUCCUUCGAAUUUGCAAGCCGAGAAUGAUGGCGAGAAACAACACCAUGAAUACUGAGACACUCCGGAAUAAUGAAGAAUGAAAGGUUGAGCCAAUAUGAGAAUUAAUGCUAAUUGAUCUAGAAGAAGGAAUAUGACUGAUGAAAUUCAUACUUACGUCAUAGUUGAAAAGAAUUAAUGAACUCCGGGAAAAGAUUAAAAGAGCUAGGAAAGAUCCUCGGAAAGAACCUGUGGGUUAAGGGCCCACUCAAAGAAAUAACCGUUGAAAAGAAUACUAGAAAGAGAGAUAUUGCACCGGUAUGAAGAGAACUAGAUGGGGUUGAGCACCUCGAAAUAAUUAAAAGAUUGAAAACCAGAACUUCUGAGACAACUUCAGCACUCCGGAUAGACUAGAGAGAAAUGAAUAACAAGAUAGGCUAAUAAGAAUUUCCAACACAGGAAAAAUUACAAGGAUGAAUAGGAUAUGAUGAACACGGAAAACUGAAUUAAAUUCACCGGUAAGGAUGACAAGAAUGAACAAAUAUGACACGAAUCUCCUGAGAAUCUUCACAAUGAAUCACCGGUUACGAAAGAAAGAAGAGAUAGCGGAAGCAUCACUGAAAUGAAAUGCAGUUGGAUGAAAUCCAAUCACUGAAGAAAAAGGGCGGGAGGGCGGGAAAAACAAAGACAACAUGGGACAGAUGAGAUGAACUCCGGAAUAAAAUGAGAGAAUGAUCUGCAACAACUGGAGAAGAUUGAAUUCAGUUGCAGAGAAGCACACCGGUAAAAUGGAAUUGAUACGACGACUCCGGUUGACAAGAAUUGAUAAGACAACUGAUUGAGCAAAAGAAUUAGCAUUCCCACAAAAAUAUGAGAACACCGCUUAGGAAAGAUCUGAAAUCACCACUUGACAUCGAAGCAACACAAAUUACCAUAGUUCAACAAAAUAAAGGGAUGAGGCUUAUGAAACAAGCCAGAACAAACUCAUGAGAAAGAUUUCGUCCGAUAUUUUCGUGGACAGGCUCGCACGGGCUCGAUUGUAUAGUAGCCAUCAAGUGCAAGGCAGUGCACCCGACAUACGAUGCGUCCCCGAGUCGUAGCAAGCUACAAGGACUCUUUAAGACACAACGUGUACCUCUGUAAGUCGACCGUGAACAAACGAAUCCACUAGAUGUCGAACCCCAACCUAACAUCAUGCAUUUGUUGGAAGAUUGUCCUAUAAGCAACUACUUGGAUUCCCACCUAUGAAUUCCCGAAAUAUCUGGUCAUGCAAUCUGGUAUACGGAUACAAGGAGUAAUAUCACACAACUCCUAUACUAACCCGUCACAUGUAUCACAUCCGUCAACACACAACCAGAAUCUCGGACCUUCAUCUACAACAGACCCUCGUGAUCACAACGAUACAAAGUAUGGCAGUACUCCCGAACAAUCUGCACCAGUAGUGGGGACAUCGGGGUUAUCUCGCCACUACUAGUAUUGAAGCAAUUACGAACAUCCUUCGUUCUGAGAUACUAAGAAAUCUGAAUGAUAACAAUGUGCUCAAGAAUCCCGUGGAGCUCAACUCCCCUGAGACUUAGAGCAGAUAGGAGGCACCAAGACAGAACUCCGUCACAUCGGCAUCAUAUAGAUCUCAAAAAUAUCCGCGUGAUCCUAAAUUUUUUUUUGAGUGAGAAGAGGAGUAGAGUAAAUUAUUAUGUCAAGAUUCCUCACCAGAGCAUAGAAGAGGAGAAAAAAGAAUCCUACUCUCCGAUAUAUAACUAAGACUCAAAUAGUUUUUCACUAGACUCGACUCAGCCAAGUUCGAUCAAUCAAGGGGGCUCCUAGGUCGGUAUGGCUCUGAUACCAACUUGUCACGCCCAAGAUGCGACCCUAUCCUCAAUUUGGCACGAAGGCCUCGUCAGGGAUAGAAGCACAUCUCGUCGUGUCGCAAGAAUGGAUAUCGUUACAAGUACAUGUACUGAAAAAGAAGAGAUAUAUAUACAGAGUUGGCUUACGCUCGCCACAAACUACAUCAGAGUCACAUCAGUACUUUACAUAAUCAUCAAGAGUAAGAGCAGGGUCCGACUACGGACGAAAACAAACGACAAAAGAAGAACGACGUCCAUCCUUGCUAUCCCAGGCUGCCGUCCUGGAACCCAUCCUAGAUCGAUGAAGAAGAAGAAGAAGAAGAAGAAACUCUAAAUCAACAAUCAACGCGCUCGCGUCAAGUAACCUUUACCUGUACCUGCAACUGGUGUUGUAGUAAUCUGUGAGCCACAGGGGACUCAGCAAUCUCAUUUCCAAAGGUAUCAAGACUAGCAAAGCUUAAUGGGUGAGGCAUGGUUAAGUGGUGAGGUUGCAGCAGCGGCUAAGCAUAUAUUUGGUGGCUAACUUACGAGUACAAGAAAUAAGAGGGGGGAAGAUCUACGCAUAUCGGACGUGAACUACUGAUGAUCAAUUGAAUGAUCCUGAACACCUACCUACGUCAGACAUAACCCCACCGUGUCCUCGAUCGGAGAAGGAACUCGCGAAAGAGACAGUCACGGUUACGCACACAGUUGGUCAGUUUUAAUUAAGUUAACUUCAAGUUAUCUAGAACCAGUGUUAAACAAAGCUUCCACGUUGCCACAUAACCGCGGGCACGGCUUUCCGAAAGAUUUAACCCUGCAGGGGUGCUCCAACUAGUCCAUCACAAAUUACCACAAGCCGCAUAGAAAUCCUCAAUCACGAAGCUCGCGAUCUCGUCGGAUUCCCUAGUGGAAAACCUCAACUCUGAGAUUACCCAAAGCAUCACCGGAAUCCCGAUGCACAAGAUAUAUCGUCAAAGGUUAAACUAAUCCAGCAAGGCCGCCCGACGUGUCGUCGAUCCCGAUAGGAGUCGCGUACCUCGUUCUCAGGACACGGCGGAUGAGCUAGACGUCGGGAUCGCUAAACCUCCGGGUGACCAGAGGGGCGCCGGACAUCGCUCAGGUGGGGCCAACACUCAUGAGGAGCGCUGGCCCGGGGGUUGAUUAAAUUAUCCUCGGGGCCCGGGAAGUCCCUAUGCAAUUUUAUUAGGUGUUUAGGCAAAUGUAGUACCAAAGUUGGGCCUUGCCAGACCAGCUUUAAUCUAAAACGAAUUAUCAAGGGGGUCCCCAUAACAACCCCGAUCGUGUUAGGAGCGCUCAUUUAUGGAACAUAACACCGGUAGCCGGAAACUAAGGGGGCAAAGGUGGAACAAAACACCAGGCUAGAAAGGUCGAGCCUUCCACCUUUUACCAAGUAUAUAGGUGCAUUAAAUUAAAUAGCAUUUAAUAUGGUAUUAUAACAAGGAACCCAUGUUUCACAUGGAAGCAACUGCACCUGCAACUAGCAACGCUAUCAACAGGGUUAAGCAAGCAGUAACAUAGCCAAUCAGUGGUUUGCUGGGAUGAACAAGUUGAUGGUUUUCAUGGCAUUGUCGAGAGGCUCAUAUUUAUCAUGUGGUAGGCAACGAGACAUAAACGAUAGCAACGGUAAAACUAGCAUGGCAAUGAUAGUAAUGGUAUCUGGGGAAAUGAUCAUCUUGCCUGAGAUCCCGCUUGGAAGAAGAAUGCCUCCAUGAAGCAGACGAACCGACGUAGUCGAACGGGUCCUCACAUCCGACACGCUUGCGGAACUCUAACGAGACGAAGCAAACCGGAAACACAAAUCAACACACGAUAUUCACCACACGAUGCACAACACAUAUGAUGCAUGAGCAGCUGAAUACAUGCAAGACACGGCAUGACACUUCACACAAUCAAACACUACACAUUAAGUGAAGUUCAAUAUGCAACGGGUUGCAUAUUGACGAAACUCUACAUAUGAAUUAUUUAGUUCACUCCCGGUUAUUUACACGGCAAUAUUAAAAGGUUGUUAACAUGGCAAGGGGGUGAAGCACAAAUAUAACUACCUAUCUAUGCAAUUUAAAUGAGGCCGGAAACAACUUAUAGCAUCUCCGAAAUGUCCCCACGCGUUAAAUUCUAAUUCUGUCCAGAUUUGUCCUAAUCACAUUUUAAGUUUGUUAAACAGCAAAACAAAGUGGUUCACGUGAUUCUACGUGUCAAGACAAGCAAUCUACACAUAGAGAUCAUCUCCAACGGAGCUACGGGCAAAUAGUUACGACCUAAACCGUUUUUAUCACGUCGACACGCAAACCGAAGCAAGCAGCACCCUAAACAGCCUUUGACAUGCAUGAGAGUUGGACAUUGUUGAUCUACGCGAUCCUAGGCAAGUUACUUAUUUAUAUCACUCCGAUCCGAUGCACGGUUUGAAAUCUACGGGGGUUUGAAAACAAUAUGCAAUUUUCUGCACUGCGGACGAAUCGUGACAAGACAUGGGUUCUACACUCUAUGAGAUAUACCUUGCGCAACCUGUCGAAACUGAACUCCAAAGACACAACCUGCUGCUGCCAAGGCGGGGCUGCAGUUGCUCGCGUCAGCGGGAUGGCGUAUGGCUUCAGUGGGGCGUCGACGGGGGAUGGAACCGGGGGGCGAGGUACUGCAUGGGAGCCGUCCUUGGCGCCCGCGAGGCAGCCUGUAGAUCCGGUGGCCGACGGCAAGAGGCCGGACCUGGCGCGCUCUGGAGCCUGUGGUGGCCAUGGCGUGCUGCUACUGUAAACAGAGAACAAAAAGGAGGAAGAGAGAGAUUUGAGAGAGGGAAUAUGUGAAACCGAAGGAGGAAGGAGAGUAGGAAGGAGAGGGGAACGGGAGAGGUUCUGGCCUGGGAGGACGGGCUCGGUCGUGGCGGGCUGCUGCUUGGAGACAACGGCAUCUGAAGAUGCACUGCGGCAAGCUUCUGGCUGCGCGGUGCAGGCAAGGCGCGGGAGAACGAACACGGGGACGGGGGGAUGCUGGUCUGCGGGGCGAGCUCCUGUGGAUCGAGGCUACUGGCGGCGCUGGAUGGAUCGGGCGACGGGACCGAGGGCUUCCUCGAUCUGGCUGCUGCGGGCGCUGGGGAUCUGGUUGUCUGAUUGGCGAGGAGGUAAAAAAACGAGGAAGAGACCAGGUGAUGUGCGGCGGCAGCAGUUGGGACUGAUUGGUCUAGGGUUUGCCUGCUUAAAUAAAUAGGUGGGUUUGGAUAGGGUUGACUGGACCCUCCGAUAUAAAUCGGACGGUCGAGAAUGAAUAGGCUAGGGAGUCCAAUGGACAAACCGAUGACUGUUUGCGGUAAAACGGGGUGGAUCCGGACCCAACGGUCACGACUAUAUGAUUCAGGUUCCGGGAGGUUUUCGGACUAGGCCGCGCAUAGGGUUGGUGCACUGUGCAGAGGGGCUAGGCGGGAUGAGAGGAAAAACGGGCGGCGCGGCAACGCGAUUUAAAACACCGGGACACGUGCGACGAAUAACCGAAGACGGUGCCGCUACGAACGACCGUUCGGGUACGAGACGGACUCCGAUUGCGACGAAACUUGACAGGCGGCCUACGUAUAAUAAAAUACGACCGCACGUCAAAUCUCAACCCAAUCAGAGAAGGUUUUACGCACACUUUUAAAACAGGGUUUUGACGGUGCCGCGGGCGCGUGCGAGUGCGGUCGGACUCAGAACGGACAACGACGAGAACCGGCAACUACUAACGAAUGCAAGUUUUGAAAACUGGCGGCAACGGAGAUGUCGAUGCAAUGCUGAUGAUGCGCAUGAUGCGAUGAUGAUGCGACAAAAUAAAACAGACACACGACGAAAACGGAAAGGAAAGGGAAUCUUCUGGAACGUCGGCAUCGGCCUGUCACAAGUUAGAUGUACAAGUAUCAUCAACAAUAUGAGAGGAGUAAGUAGCAGUUAGAGACUUCUCAUGAGUAGAUUGAAGCUCCUCAUAGAUCUUAGAGGUUUUGAUGAGCUCUCCCUUGACACUAUUGCAUUCAAGGAGAAGGACCUCAAAAUCCUUUUUAAGUUUAUCAUGAGCAACUUCAAUCUUUUCUUUUGAAAAUCUUAAGUCUCUACAUGCUUGAUGACUCUUCUCAAGUUCAUGUUCAAGUUUUUCACUUUUAGCUUGUUCAUGAUUAAGUGAAUCAUUAGAAUUUUUAAAGUAAGCAAGAACAUCUUGGAAUCUUUGAAGAGCGUUAUUUUUAGCUUUAUGAAGAAUUUUACUGAUCACAUAGAUAUUUUCAGUGAAGUCAUCAUCAUCAUCCUUAUCGCAAAUAUCAUCGUUAUUGCACAGGGAAGAUGAUACCUCAUUAUUACCUCUUGCCAUGAGGCACAUGUGAACUGGAGAAGUUGAUGAUGAUUCUUUUGGUGACUCAGAUUCUUCAUUAGUCAAAAGUACUUCAUAUUUCUUGAUUUCCCCUGAAUGAUUAGUCAUAGAGCAACUAGGGAGAAACAAGAUAUUUUGAUCAAGAGGACACGGGAUAGCAGGCAUAUCACCACAGACAUUUGUCGAGGGAUCUUUAGGUGAAAUGCAUGACCUAUCAGCACAAUAAUUUACACUAUGUGUGGUGCUAGAUAUGCUCGUGUCCAUAUAGGCUAUGACAUUUUCAUCAACAUAUAUUUCUUCACUCACCAUGUCAUUACCUUGUGAGAUUGAAGAUGCUGAGGUGUGCAAGCAAUCGGAUAUGGGAGUAGUGGUGGACUCUUUAUGAUCGAAAAGAGUGAAAAGCUCAUGCACCAACUCCUUCAUCGUAAUAUCGUCUUCAUCAAGAUUGGACCCACCAUAUAAAUCUUCAAGUAUAGUCCAAACUUCAUGAGCUGUCUUGCAAGUUGAGAUAGACUUAAACACCUCGGGACUUAUGGUUCGAUGAAUGGCAAGAAAAGCCUCACAAUCAAGAUACAUUUCAUUAGUAGAUGAAGAUGCAUCAUCCUUUUUGUCGGCAAUCCCUACAAGAACAAUUCAUAAAGUAUUUGGGCCCAUGGUCCAAAAGUGAUGAAGCAUACGAAUUCUCCAUAGGGUAUAAUUUGUGCCAUCAAAGUCAAAGGUGUCAUUGUACACUAAUCCAAUAGUCGACAUCGAUACUCUCUAGGUCGUGAAACCUAAUUAAAGAGAGACCUUGCUGUGAUACCAAUUGAAAAGACCACGAUGUCGCCUAGAGGGGGGUGAAUAGGCUAUUUAAAAACUUCUUCGGAUUUGGCUUAAACCUAAUGCGGAAAUAAACUAAGAGGAUACUUUUAAGGCACAAAUCCUAAAUGCAAUAGGCACCGCAACGUGUAUCAACAACACGAUCUACCAAGAUGGACACAAUACAGUUACUAACAAGCACAAGCAAGUUACACAAACUUACUUGAGCUAUAUCACACGACAAGUAGGUGAACGACACAAGAUACUAGAUCACACUAUAACACACGAUAUAUCAGAAGCUGCAAGUGUGAACGUGUGGAUAUAGAGGGUAUGCUUGAACGAUUAAUCUUGUACGAAGAAAUAGCCAACACAAUAUAAUAAGCACAAACAAUAUGCAAUGUAUGUAUGCUCAAGUAACACAAGUAAACCACACGUAAGGAGUUAGGGUUAAGGAUAACCAAGGUCACUGAGACGAAGAUGUAUCCCGAUGUUCACUUCCUUGGAGGGAAGCUAGUCACCGUUAGAGAGGUGGAUGUUACCACGAAGGCACACCAACGCCACGAAGGCUCACCCUAUUCUCCCUUUGAGAUAACACCACGAAGGCGUUUCUCAACCACUAGUGGUCAGCCUUUGAGGUGGCUUCCAAACCCUCACAAACUUUUCCGGCGGUAAUCACACGGAUUGAUUCCUCUCCGAAGAACUCCUACCGCCUAGGAGUCUCCAACCUCCAAGAGUAACGAGAUCACGGGGAAUGCUCAAAACUUGCUCAAAUCUCAAAUAGCUUGGGUUGAGAGAAGGAGAGGGAGACGAUCUAUCUUUUGAUUGGAACAACUCUCAAAGGGGCUCACAAAUGCUCUUGGGAUCUAAGAUUUGGUGUGAGCAAAUGUGUGUGGGGUAGAAAUGUGUUCUUACGAGGAUAUGGCUGUGUUGGGCACCCUCUCACGAAGUGGGAGGGGGGUAUUUAUAGUGGAGAAGGGAAAGUGACCAUGGGGGUCACUUAAGUCUGACAGUGGUCGGACGUCCGGCAGUUCUCGGAUGUCCGGACGCCCACAAGGGGUCGGACGUCCGACAGGGGUCGGUCGUCCGAGGGAUGUACAUAUAUCAGGAACCACUGUGAAGUCGAACAGGGACCGGAUGUCCGGAGGAAGCCGGGUGUCUGAGACUUUGGCUCUGUUCAAGGGCACCGGAUUUCCGAAGGAGGUCGGACGUUCGGCCCUCGGACGACCGGAGGAGGCCGGAAGUCCAUGUUAUUUGACUCAAAUUUCUCUGGUGCAAGAUUCCAGAUUUCCGAAGGAGGUCGGGCGUCCGGCCAUCGGACGACCGGAGGAGGCCGGAAGUUCGUGUUAUUUGACUCAAAUUUCUCUGGUGCAAGAUUCCGGAUUUCCGAAGUGGUCGGGCGUUCGUCCCUCGGACGUCCGGAGGAAGCCGGAUGUCUGAGGCAUUGGUUCUGUUUUCAGAUAACAGCAGAGAAGUGGAGAUGUGGUAUGAGCAAAAAAGUAGAGAUGUAGUUUGAGCAAGUUCAUCGCAAAACCUGUGAUCCCCUCUUAAUAGUGCGGGAUCCCUAAAGACUCAAGAAUCAUAAAAGGGUACCGAUGAUCCAUACUUGAGUGUAUACAUAUAUUCGCUGAUCAUCACUCCGCACCACUAACGUCAAAGGAACUGAUACCUUUGAGUUAGCCCUUUCACUUGAGCUUGAUGUUGUUGUUCCUUUUUGGCUCAAGUUGAAAGCAAGACAUGAUGAAGUCUUCAAGUAGUUCUCCCAUACACAAUGUGGAAAGCCUAGCUUAUGUAUUCAUCUUCAUUUGUCCACCAUGUGAACAUCCACAAGAAUCAAGCAUGUAGUGCUCAGGAAUGCUUAUCUUGAUCUUGUCCUUGUUAGCACAUGAGCUUGUCCUUAUCAACACAUGAUCAUUAACAAUAGUUUAAGGGGGAUUAGUGAUUAAUUAUCUAUAUGUGUGUUGUCAGCAACACCAAAACACGAUUAAGGGCAUGACUGCACUUUCAAGUUCAAAUUGUCCACUUUUAUUCCCUAAAAGUCUCUCAUGUUUGAUUUAGAUGGGACUAAAAGGGACUUUUUUAGUCCCUACAUCAAAAAGUCCCUGUAAACAAACACCCCCUAUGUUGCAUAUGGUAACCCCUUAACUUAUGUUCCUUCAAUGGCUUCUACAUCUCCUUGCUAGCGGCAAGUGGCUAUCGUGGUCUGCAAAGUUUUAUAUGUUGAAGGUGUUUGCGGGUGUUUAUUGCUUGUUCAAUGUCUUUUUAAAGUUCCCGUGUAUGGCAUGCAAUUGGAGAAAGAAAACAACCAAUAUGAUUUUUGAUGUAAUUUUUAUUUUUCAUUUUCCAUUUAUUAUUUUUCUUUGAUGUUUUUCAAAACAAUAGUAUCACUACCAAGAUCAUCAAUGGUGCUGAAACGUCGUCAAUCGGGCCAGACUACAAUCGGGCCAGACUAAAAGAGCACCCAUGACGAUCUCUCCAAUAGUACAAAAUAUUUUUCUCAUGUUCUUAACACUAACUAUGUAACAAGUUAAUGCUAUUUUAAAACUAUUUGACGAGAAUGUGAUGAUGCUUAGAUCAAAAUAAUAUUUUUUUCAUAAAUUUUGGAUUAUGGCACGUCCAACGUUGAGUUUCUUGGUCCGUUACGGCAAUCUGUUGAUGUAAACUAGGGUGUACGCGUACGUAAUAAGGCUAAUAUACACAUCCACGUGUACUCACUUGGGAUGCAUACGGAAGGAGCCAAUGCAUGAAGUGCCUCCCUAAAUGGGCCAGACCCAUGAAUACAUAAGCAUGUCAUACGCUACACGCGUAAGCAUGUGCACAACGUAUUAUUUUAUUUCAUUUUUACUUUCUGAAAUUUAUGAAAAAUAGGUUAGGAAACUUUAAGAAGAUUGUUCAUAAUUUAUCUAAAAAGUGGUUUUAAACUAUGCUUAUUGCAUAUUUUAGAGAUGUUUAUUGUGUUUUAAAAAAAUCUUUAUCAUGUAUUACAAAUAUGUUCACGUGGUUUAUAUUAACGACAAUCAUGUGUUGAAAAUUCAUGAAUACUUAAAAAAAUUCAUUAUGUAUUAAAAAUAACCGCACGCCUGAAUAUGUUAACAACAUUUACAAAAUAUUCACAGGUUCAGAAAAUGUUCAUGAGAAUAUUAAAACAUUGUUCAUGUAAUUUGUAAAAAGUGAUGGUACCACUAAAAAUAUUAUUCAUGGUAUUUUAAAAUAUUUAUGUGUUUAGAAAUAUGUCUAGCAAUAUUUUUAAAAUUGGUCAUAAUUUUUCUUAAUUUUGUUUGCAAUUUUAGCAAUAUAUUUGUAACACAUAAAAAAUUAUGCUAUUUAUAAAAUAUGAUCAAGUAACACAUGACAAUCUUAUCCAACUCAUUGGCACUCUUUGGGCUAUAUGGUAUGCUAGCUGGCAAGCUCUCCACGAGCAAAUCUUUCAAAGUAUGCAUGCCGCCCAUGGCUUCAUAUCACGGAAUAUAUAAAAUAACUAGAUGAAUGCAAGCCAAGGAAAGCUCAUGAGACAGUUCCUCCUACAACAAGACAAUAGCAAACAAGAUGGAUCCUGCUGGUGCAAGGAGUCGUCAAGAUCAAAGUAAAUGGUUGGGUGUUGCGUGAGUGAAAUGAGGAAGCCUACGUCGUUGUAUGUAUAGAUUUCGAGGGCACCAAUCUAGGAGCCUCAUCUAUCAUGUGCUCCGACACUACGAAUCCAUGACUCUUGAAGCGCUUGCUUGUCGAGAGGCUCUAGCCCUUGCUUUAGACCUUCCUAUGACGAAAUUGCAUCAGAUUGUCAAGGUAUAGUGUCAAUGACAUCAAGCAAACUACAAGCGUCAUCAGGGAGAUUAAAGCUACUAUGAGCUAGUUUCAGCAUUGCACUUUCAUUUUUGAAGGACAAGAAACAAAUUUCAAGGCACACAACCAUGGUAGACAUACUUUUGGUUUGAAGCUAGGCCGCCAUCUAUGGUUACGUAGCAACCCCCCCCCCCUCCCGACCAUUCUUGUCUUACCAUGAACAUUAUAGAGCAAGCUCAAACAAAUGAACAUUAUAGAGCAAAAGUAUAAAGUGUGUUUCGACUUAAACAAGUGACCCGUACUAAGUCCGUUUAUGGAGCCUUAUAAGUACCUCAUGUGUGGCACCAGCACAUGGCAACUCCAAACAUUUUGUAUGACAAACUCAGUGGCGCAACUAUCGCAAUUUUAGUUGUCACGCAUGACAACUUUACUGAUGCGGGUAUGUCAAAUUUUGUUCUCAAGCAUGGCAAAAUUUGUGAUUCAGAUUAUUUUUGACAGAAACUUGUUGUGUGUCACUGGAAUUUACCAUCUUCCAUGACUGUAAUUGUCAUAGAAAAAACGUCAGGGGCCGAACAAAAAUGCUACACCUACAUGAACAGACUACAUAAAGCUAUGUUUCUAUCCUUCCUAAGGGCAUCUCCAACGGUAACCAGCAUUUUUUCUCACAUCCCCAGUCCAGGGACACGGAGGUGGGAGAACACCAUCUAACAGUAGCCACAUACAUUUCGAACCCUUUUUUAACAAACCGGAUAAAAUCAAACACGAUCGAAUUUUAUGCAAACAUGAUGGAUAUCAUACAAACGCGACGGAUUUUAAUACAUUUCGAACAUGUAGAACAAAAAAAGACGCACCCCUAAACUUGUCAUAUAGCAGUGACGCCUCGCGUCCGAGCCCGUUUUGUCCUCCAUCCGCCAUCUCCAUGAGCACCGCCGAUAAGAACGAUGAAGUGAAGGUGCAGUCUACGACGAGGAAGAGCAGAACACUGGUGACGGACCGGCCCAUGUGGGACACAAGGCACCAUCGCCUAUUGUGGCCUAGGGAAUCCCUAUUUGACGCUCUUUGCAUUAAAUUAUCAGGGCUUUGCAUAGGCGAAGCGAAUUGGCGACGUGAUCUGGGCUGGCCACAUUUUUUAAAAAAUAUUUGUUUUUCCAAAUUGUUCAUAACUUCAAAAUAUGAUCUUGUUUUUCAUAUAUAUAUUUUUUAAAUGUUCUUUUUUUUGCUUUCCUAUUUUUUUGUUUGACAUUUUCAAAUUUUUGUUCUGAAUUUCAAAAAAUGUACUCGUGUUCAAAUUUUGUUCACAUUUUUUAUUUAAAUGUUCGUGCUUCAAAAAUUAAUCAGGAGUUACAAAAAAUGUUUUUGCUUUCAAAAUGUGAUCUUAUUUAAAAAAUGUUUGUGUUUCGAAAAUUGUUCUCGUAUUAAAAAAAAUAGCACGAUUUUUCAAAAAUGUCCAUGUUCUGAAACAAAAUCAGGGAUUUAUGGAAAUGUUCUUGUUUAAAAAAUAAUCAUGAUUUCAUAAAAAUAUUUGCGUUUCUAAUUUUGUUUUCCAUUUCAAAAAAAUCAUUAUUUUCAUAAAAUGUUCAUCUUUACAAAAAUAGUCUCAUUCUCAAAAUUUCCUCAAGAUUUUCAUAAAAAUGUUAUGCUUGAAAAAGUGUCCAGGAAUUUAAAAACAAAAUCACUUUUUUUCACAAUUUGAGAGAAAUGUUCUUGUUUCGAAAAUGUCAAUGAAUUAAAAAAAAUGUUCGCAUUUUAAACAUUUUUUUGGAAAUUUCAAAAAGCUUAGCCACAUAUCAAAAUUUGUGUACUUUUACGAAUAAUGUUUAUAAAAUUUCAAAAUCUGACCAAAUUAUAAAUUUUGCUAUGAUAAUUAAAAAACUCCGAAACAAAAUUUGUAAACAGGAAUAUUCUUUGAAAUUUCUGAAGAAAAUUUGAAACACGCAUAUUGUUUUUUAAAAUUGCGACCAAUUGUUGAAAUAAAAACACUAUGUAAAACUCCAAAAAAAUUGAAAACACGAACAUUUUUCAAAAUCUUUGAAUAUGUGAAUAAAAAAUAAUAAUAGGAACAUUUUUUUAGCUUUUACUUUUUCUAAAUUUUUUUAAAUUGAAAUUCUGAAGAACAAGAAAGUGAUUUUUUUUUUGAAAAUAAAUAGAAGAUGAAAUAUAUAAAAAACGAAAAAACAUUCAGAAAAAGGAUAUGCUUAUUGAUUUUGCAAUUGAGAAAGUGAAAGGGCUUAUUUCUUUCUUCAGGGGUACAUACAAGCUGGUUUCUUAGAUGAAUUGGAGAUAGCCAAAGAAAUUACACUUGAGAUGGAUAUUGAUGCAACAUUUCGUAAAAGGAGAGAAAUUAAUAGAAAAAAACAAUUUGAUGAGAAUCCAAACGACACAAAUAUUACCACACAGUCUGCAGAAGAACCAUUUAGAAUCAACUAUUUUAUAUGUGUUGUUGAUCAAGCAAUUUCCUCAAUCACAAGGAGAUUUGAGCAAUGUGAAGGUUACCAAAAAAUAUUUGGUUUCUUAUUUGCUUUUGAAACAUUGCGUUCAUUGGAUAAGGAUAGUUCGAAAUCUUCUUGUGUUGAUCUUGAGGCUGCCCUUAUGAAGGUUAAAUAAUCUGAUAUUGAUGCCAAUGAUCUAUUUGUUGAGUUAAAGUUUCUUCAAAAUUUUAUGCGAAAAGAAAAUAUCGGACCCGUUGAAAUUUUGAAUUUUCUAAAGCGGCAUAAUUAUUUUCCCAAUGCAUGUAUUGCAUAUACAGUUUUGCUGAUCAUUCCUGUGACAGUGGCAUUGACAGAAAGAAGUUUGACUAAACUAAAGCUAUUGAAGUCCUAUAUACGUAAUACUAUAACACAUCAAAGACUCAAUGAUUUGGCCACGAUAGCACUUGAGAGUGAAGUGUUGGAGAAGAUUGAUUACGGGGAUAUCAUUGAAGAUUUUCAUUUCAGAGAAUACUAAAUGAAUAAGGAUGUUCAAACAAAUAGCAAUCGGAAGUUUGAUAGGUAUGAAUUUUUUAUAUGUCCAAUUGUUAUGCAAGACAAUAUAUUAUAUAUGCUAUAACUUUUUUCUACGAGAUAUAUAUACAUUAUAAUUACUUGUUAGUUUUUUUUGUGAGAUAGGGCUUCAUUUUAAGUUUUGCAUAGGGCCCCAGAUUUUGCUGGCCUGGCCCUGCGAGCGUGGUAGAUAUCUGCCUCAUAUGGUCACGCGUCUCCGGCAUUGAACAUGCACAGGCGUCGAAGACACGUCACGAGCAGUCCCCUUGGCCGGCGAGCCGCUUCAAUGUCAACGUCAAUGAGAGGUCACGUCCGCUCUUUAGUAGGGAGCGGUCGUUCUACAACGACAUGAAUGAGAGCAGUUGGCUUCGUGCGGGAAGCGUGCACAGAAAGAGGGGGGGGGGGGGUGAACGAGGAACGUGGAUCGGUAAGUGCUCCCACGCUUCCCUUUCAUUUUUGUCUCCGGUUUACGUAAGCUUUUCGUAAGAAUUUUACGUAGCUCGGGCCAGAGUGCCACGCACAUUAGAUGUGGCACUUAUUAUUUGUUUUUUUAGGAUUCUAUGUUCGUUUCUAAUACGUUAGACUAGACCACAUGUAAACGUGCAAGUCUACAACACGAGCCCAACUAAUAAGCCCCGCAUAUAUACAUGCAAGCACACUUGGGGUUACCGACUGUUGGAUGGACUCCCCGCCAGGUUUCCUCAUGACCAGUGUGAUGGCUGAUCGUGUUGGUGCCAUUGUUGUUGAAUAAAGCUCAUAGUUUCCCGCAACAAAAAAAAAUAAUAAGCCCCGCAUAUAUACACCGAUCCUGCACCCGUCGAUCUCAUCAAUUUGCCUUACUAGUAGUACCCCAGUUUACCCUAAAAGUUCCAAGGAAAGCAGUACUCCAGCGCCGCCAUGCACGAGCACGACGAGGCGGCCACCACAAGGGCGAAGACGUGCACACCGUACCUGCCGGACGAGCUGGCGUCGGAGAUCCUGGCCCGGCUCCCCGUGGAGCCGCUGCUCCGAUUCAGGUCCGUCUGCAAGGCCUGGCGCGGCGUCAUCGACGAGAGCUCCUUCCCCCGCGAGCACCUCCGCUUCCAGACCUCGUCCCUGCUCGUCGCGCCGUGGCUCGGGGAGAAGGACAACGACAGUCCCCUCCCUUCUUCAACCGAAGAGCUGACCGCUGCCGGUCUGUACCAGUGGGACGGGAAGCAGCAGGGCGUCGCCACGCUCCUGCACGCCAUGCCCGGCUGCCGCUCCAAGAAGGAGGAGUUGCACAGCAUGGCGCAUUGCGAUGGGCUGGCGCUGUUGCCCAGCGACGAUGCGGUGCGCGUAGCCAACCCGGCCACCCGGCGCAGCGUCACGCUUCCCCCGACCCCUAAUUGCUUCGACGGCCCUCAGGCUUUCGGUCUUGGCCACGACCCUCGCUCCAACGCUUACAAGGUUGCUUGCUUCUACGGUUACCAUGAUCUUGACGUACGCGCACCGGGUAGCCACCACGGCUAUACUGCCAAGAUGGGGGUGUUCACCAUAGGGAAAGACCUUUGUUGGCGUGACACGGCGGCAGCGCCGCCUCCUCAUCAAGUCAUGCGAGGGCGAACGGCGACCUUCUUCAAGGGGUCCUUGCUCUGGACACUCAAGGUCAAGGAGGGGGUUCUGGACAGCGCGCCAGUCGCCCCAGGCUUCGUCCGCUUCAGGUUAGAGGAUGAGUCGUUCAGCAUGGUACCGGCGCCUCCUUGCACCCCGAGGUUGAACUACAAGGCGUCCAAUUUAACUGAGGUCCGGGGAGAGCUGUGCGUGUGCGCACGUCGGUCAGUAGCGGUUCAUCACGCGGUUUACGAGAUGUGGGUGUGCGCUGAUCUAGAAGAUGGCGCCAAUCCGCCACGAUGGGAUAUGCGCCAUGUUGUCACCGGGGCCUUCUUAUUCCGAUCUUUUAUUCCCAAGAUCACGACUGCCGACGCCAUACUGUUCCAUUUUGAAGAAAAGUAUCUUUACAACUGCCAUCUACAAAAUCCAACAUUUAAUUUUGAUGAUGUGAUUGAAAUGGAGGGCUUGAGGUAUCAUCACCUCGACACCGAUACAUUUGUCGAAUACACAAAAAAAAUUAUUGCUGGCCUUCAUGUGAUCCCCUAUGUUCCAAGCCUUGUUCGGAUCUAGGUUUCAGUAAAUUUAUUUAUGUUAAUUAGUGUUAUCGAACAUGAAGGUGCAUUCAAAUUUUGUCGUUCUGUUAUUAAAAGGGGUUGAGGCAGGUCCCAUACCCUUUAGUCCCGGUUGGUGUCUCCAACCGGGACUAAAUGUUAUGAAAGAAAGCAGUACAAAUUUGAGAUCAAUGAGAGAAGGUGUUUGAUGAUGAAUAGAGCUACUUAGAGGAAUCCAACGGUUUUAGAAUUUAAUAGAAAUGAGGUUGGUAUCAAUUUGAGCCAGUGUGUAAAUUUGUAGCUCAUUUCAAGAAAAUUUGCAAUGUAAAUUUUUCAAACCCUAGAAAUGAACUGAAAUGGUCUUGACAAGUUUUGGUCAAGUUAACUUGUUUUCCAACUUGUGGCAUUUGAUGGGGGUGAUGCUCAUGACCAUCUGGCAAUGUGAUAUAAAUUUGAGAUCAAUGGGAGAAAGUUGCCAAUGUAACUUUGUCAAACCCUACAGAUGUGCAGAAUUAGUUUUGGCAUACUUUGACCAAGCUAAUUUGUUAUCCUUGAUGAACCACUUGGCCUAGAUGAAUAUUUAGACCACUUUAGUAGGUGUACCAAGUUUGAGCUUAUCUGGACAUGUUUAGCAAUGUAAAGUUGCUCAAACUAGAAAACGGACAGAGAUGGUUUUGAGGGAAUUUGAUGAUGUUAUCUUGUUCUCCAACACACGAGACUUGGCAAGAUCAUCAAAUAUGGCAUUUGUGAUAUGAUAGAAUUUUCUUGGAAUUUAUGGUGAAUAUUUCCUUUGUAAAUAUUUCAAAAACUUGAAAUAUCCAGAAAGGCUAAUUGAAGGGUUUGACUAAUAUUUUGAGCUAUGUAAAAGAGAGAGUCACUGGAGGUAGAAUUAAUAUGACUAGGGUGGAGCAACUGUCCAAUGAAAGUGAAGUUAGAGAUUGGCUCUGUGAUUAAGCAGAAGUGUAUUGAAGCCCGUCAUACGUUAGGGCAGAGCUGGAGAGAAGAGGCUAUUUUGUGUUGUUUUACCUUUGUCAGUGUGAUGGAAUAUGAGCAUGUUCUGGUAACCCAAGACACUAUCUCUUUGGAUUUGAAAUGGUGCUGUUCAGAAUGAAGCAAAGCAUUGACCUACCCCGGAAGGAAGGAAAAAAAGGUGAGGCUUGACCUAAAGGCCUUUCUUUCUCAUCUGGUUUUCCUUGCACAAACGCAAAGAUGCGCACUUCUCCGACGUACUCAAAAAAUGAAAGAAAGAAAUCAUCGCAUUGAACUUGUGGGAACAGCUGCGUACGCUCUGGAGGUGGACUGGCCUUCAGGGUUCAGAGUCGAGACGGAGAGAGGGAGAACGAAGGAAAGAAAAGGCAAAGGCCGGUCGAUUGAAGGGGCGCCUUUCCAACCGAGAGCUGCGGUGCGGCAGCGGAAGGAGCCGUACGUACAGUCGAGGCCUUGUCCACGGAAGGACGCCGUUACGAGGGCGCGCCGCGGAACCCGCGAAACGCAUUCCGCGUGCCAAGAAUCCAGCCGGGGCAUGGGACGUACGCACGCCGUCUUCCUUCCCCGCCCGUUGAAAACCAAGGAGUCCUGCACCUUCUCUUCUCCGAGGAGUCCCACACAACGGUUUAAAAAUACCAUUACUCUCCGUCAUCCAUAUUACCACUUGCCACAGCUUUGGUAUAAUAACAAAUUUGUUUUUUGUUCUUUUUUUUGAAACUUUAAAAUAUGAUUUGAGCAGUACCUUGAUCACUUCCAUCAACCAAAUUGCAGGAUGGCUCAUACGGGCAGAGUGAUUAUAAGUAGUAGUACUGGCACCUUUUCUCUUCGUCGGAGGUGACAUCGGGCACAUUAGGGAAGGGAGCUCACCCGUGGAACAUCUGAAUAUCACUAUACUAUAUCCAUGGUUGAAAGAUAACCACAAGAACAGAAGAACCUGCAACCAUGUACACCAGUCAACAAAAAUAUCAGGAUCUCUAAAAUCGCAAGGCACCAUAAAUUACAGGACCUUGAAGUCUCUACCUCCACGCGCCGCUAAAUUAGACACGAGUCACUGCUAGUCGCUUUACAGAGUUCAGUAGUCCGUUGGUCGACGCGUUUGGACCGGAUGUGCUCAAACCACCCAAUGGAUGGAAAUUGGCAUGACUGCCCUUGAAAAGUUCAUCAAUUUUCAAGCUCGCUUGUGUUACUUCAGAAGUGCUAGAGCCACUUAA